CUACUCUGGUGGUAAGAAGACGGCUUACCUGCACCUGAUAAUUCUUUCUUUGUUUAUAACCUUGCGACAUACCACAGAGCUGGUUUACUCUUGUGCUACCAAAGCUCGCAGUCAAUUGGAUAAGGGAGACCCUGGAGGCUCACUGGUCUGUCAAGUGUACACUUCGCGACAAGACAAAUCGUGAUCUUCAUCGUGAUCUUCAAUGGAACUUAAUGAUAAAAGCAACAAGAAGAACAGAGGUCGAUCCUCCUUGGUGUUGGCGGUCUGGAAUUCAUCGCUGAGCCUGAACCGCCAUUCCUCUUCCAGCUCCAACCUGCCGACCGUCUGCCGCAAGGAACUGCGAUCUGCACUGAUCACACACAGAGUUGCACCUACAAGCAAAGAUAUCCACCUCCAUUAGCCUGAUAAGCAUCCGAGCCAGAAUACCCAGG
Molecule: long non-coding RNA, 431 nt
Organism: Dunckerocampus dactyliophorus (ringed pipefish)
Lineage: Eukaryota; Metazoa; Chordata; Actinopteri; Syngnathiformes; Syngnathidae
Exons: 3
Source: RefSeq, a predicted model, not a curated record